Anolis carolinensis (green anole) is the source of this 2814-nucleotide long non-coding RNA. RefSeq lists it as uncharacterized. NCBI's taxonomy places the organism in Eukaryota, Metazoa, Chordata, Lepidosauria, Squamata, Anolidae. The transcript is spliced from 3 exons. The record is from RefSeq and is a predicted model, not a curated record.
ACCUUUCCAUUAUUUGUAGGUCCUCCAGUGCUACCUGACGGUCAGUUUCAGGAGGAAGCAUACCAUAGAAUCAUGCUGGAAGUCUUAGAAAAAUUAGGACAUUUUUUUCAGACAUAGCUAAGUGAAACUGUGGGGAUUGACAGACACAAGGAUCCUAUUAUAAAAAAUACCCAGCACAUAAAUUUAUGAGCCUCUCUAGAGUUUCCUGAAGGAACCAGAUCCCAUCUAAUCUUGAAAGCUAAGCAGGAUCAGUCUUUAUUUUCCACACUGUGAACCUGAUUGAAACUGAUCAUAAUUGUACCAAUUUUACUCAAAUAUUAGGAAAUUAUAAUACUUUGCAAGAAGAGAGUUUGGUCUUUUAAAAGGCCAUAAAUACUGGCAUAUUCUUCAAAACAUGGGCAUCUAAUCUUCUCCUGAUGAGGACCGUGUGGAUAGUUUUUCUGGGUCUUCCAGACUUAAUGGCAAAUUUCCACUGAUUUCAACUGACCCACAAACUUUCUCUGUAUUUACAGGCUAGUAAUGCUGUAUGGGUGAAUGUAGCUGCUUCAAGAAAACUGUGAGUCAAGAACAGCCUGGAAGCUGGUUCUACUGGAUGCAGCUUGUGUCUUGCUUCUUCUCUUCUUGCUGAUGGAGAUGUCUUCAAUGAGGCAGAUAAGAGACAGCGAAGAGAUUGCAAGAAAAAACAAAGGAAAGGAAAGCUAUUAAGAAGAUACACAGCUAAAGGCAAAAUGUUCUGGAUGACACAACACGAGAACCAAUGGUACCCUAAAACAGGUUCUCCUCUUUAAAUAAUACAGAGUUAGUGACAUUUUUGUUGGCCAUGAUUCCUAAUUCCCCAGUACUGCUUGCCUGCAUCUUCCCAUACAGACCAAGCCAUGGUUCUAAUAUGAUCCGUUCAUACCUUUUAGCUACCCCAGUUCAUCAUUUACUUGUCCCACUUUCUCAUAUAGUUUUAAAAUGUCUGUUUCUCUCAUUUCCCCCACCUUUCACUCUCAGCAUACUGCAAAAUUAGGCAAGGAAAGGUGUUAUAAUUUUGAUCUUCCCAAUGGCUUUUGGGAGGGGGCGUUUUCUAAACUUACUACAUACAUUCCCAGAUAUCUAUAAAACAAUAGUUUUGUAUUCUUCCUCAUUCAUCACUUUUGCCCUGCUGCUUCAUGUUCACAUCCUUUUGACCACACUCUGAUGUUGCUCAACAUGUGUCCUAGUUUUCACAUGUGAAAUGUUGGCAUAUGUGGCAUUACAUGCACUAUGGAGCCUGUGACUGAAUCAGACUUCAAAAAGUAGGAAUAAAAAUAACUGGAUCACUCAAACACAUUAGCAAAAAUACUCCCUUUAAAGAAAAUGCUUACAGUUGUCAGAAUGAUCCAGUAAUUCCUAUCCCUAUGUUUGAAAGUCUGAUCCUGCAAAUGACUGGGUGAGCAAAGCUCAAUUUUAAGGAACAGCCUUUCAGGAAAAAAAGAAUAACUGGGAUCCAUACAACAGCCAUCCUAAAUGCAAAGUAUGCUUCACUAAAUGCCUUCUUAUACUGUAAUCAUCUUUAAUUCAAUGAUUUUAAAAUUAAAUUGAUUUUAUUUUGUGAGUCGCUCUGUGCACUCUGGUCAAAACAGAAUGCAAAGCUAUAUAGACCAAUCUGCACACAUCAUUAAAAAGUUGACCUUUGCCCUAUUGUCACAAUACUGAAGGUAAAAUGGGUACAAGAAGAAAAUUCACUAUCUACUUUCAGAACGUGUUGUCGAAGGCUUUCAUGGCCGGGAUCACAGGAUUGUUGUAUGUCUUUCGGGCUGUGUAGCCAUGUUCCAGAAGUAUUCUCUCCUGACGUUUCGCCCACAUCUAUGACAGGCAUCCUCAGAGGUUGUGAGGCAUGGAUAAAAUGGGCAAGGAAGGAAAAACGAUACAUAAAAAUUGAAGUACCUUCGUCCACAUCCAGAGACCACUGCAAGCCCCAUAAUCAAUGGAUUUGGCCCAAAUGUGGCACACAGACCCCCCCCCUCCCCAUGUCCAACUUAAAUGCUAAGGGGGUUUGGUGGGGGCGGGGUGGACUCUGGACAAUUGGAGUUGCAGCACUUUCAUCCACAUCCAGACACCACUGCUUAAGCAGCUGAGGGGGAAAAGGAAGGGCCUGAUGCUGUUAGGAAUUGUGGGAGUUGAAGUCCAAAACAGCUGGAGGGCUGAAGUUUGCCCAUGCCUAAACCUAUUUCCCACUAUCCCUCUGGCUGGAAUAGUCGAGCUAACAAUAGCUGACAGCACUAGUUAUUUUGUCACUUUACUUAUAUAUUACAUUUUCCAUUUUCCCUUACUUUUGAAAAUAACAUUUCAUUUCUAUUUCUUAGACACGAUUUCGCUUAUUAAUGUGGAAGUAAUUCUGGUGUUUUCAAAGUACAAGCAGUUUGCCAAGGAUCCUGCUGAGAAGACACCUGGAACAGAAAGGAGUAAAAUUCCACUCCCUUUUGCUAAAAAUUGCUUCCCAGUAUCUUAUCGUAUUCCUAUAUUCUGUUUCUUUGCUGUAAACUAAAAUGCAGCUGUCUAUUAUAGACAAUAGAGUGCUUGUUAGUUGGCAACAAAAUAUGACUCUGUACAGAUGAACAUCUCUGCCUAAUAUACACAUAAUUGAACCCUAAAGUGUAAAAGCAUUUAAGCUACAUGAGCACCUCAUUCUGUGCUGGAGAUUUUUGUUCUAAGGAUACUUCGACUCCAGACAGCCGGAUUUAUUAAAGAACUGUUUUAUUAUGUUGUCGAAAGCUUUCAUGGCCUGAAUCACUGGGUUACUGAGUUUUUGGGCUAUAUGGCCAUGUUCCAGAAGCAUUCUCUCCUGAC